RNAcentral lists this unclassified non-coding RNA (273 nucleotides) under uncultured fungus. Its description in RNAcentral is "partial contains small subunit ribosomal RNA, internal transcribed spacer 1, and 5.8S ribosomal RNA". The stretch from base 1 to 73 matches the Rfam family "Eukaryotic small subunit ribosomal RNA", at positions 1759 to 1831 of the family's 1831-position model. Lineage: Eukaryota; Fungi. The record is from RNAcentral.
UCAAACUUGGUCAUUUAGAGGAAGUAAAAGUCGUAACAAGGUCUCCGUUGGUGAACCAGCGGAGGGAUCAUUACCGAGUUAUUCAACUCAUCAACCCUGUGAACAUACCUAACCGUUGCUUCGGCGGGAACAGACGGCCCCGUGAAACGGGCCGCCCCCGCCAGAGGACCCCUAACCAUCUGUUUUUAUGUGUUUCUUCUGAGUAAAACAAGCAAAUAAAUUAAAACUUUCAACAACGGAUCUCUUGGCUCUGGCAUCAAUGAAGAACGCAGC